Non-coding RNA from Salmo salar (Atlantic salmon), 54 nucleotides. NCBI's taxonomy places the organism in Eukaryota, Metazoa, Chordata, Actinopteri, Salmoniformes, Salmonidae. The record is from Rfam.
UGCAUUCGCUACUGUAAGUCGCUCUGGAUAAGAGUGUCUGCUCAAUGACUGACA